Molecule: ribosomal RNA, 643 nt
Filed under: uncultured Porphyromonadaceae bacterium
Lineage: Bacteria; Pseudomonadati; Bacteroidota; Bacteroidia; Bacteroidales; Porphyromonadaceae
Description: bacterial SSU rRNA
Rfam family: Bacterial small subunit ribosomal RNA
Source: RNAcentral
GUAGCAAUACUUUGGUGGCGACCGGCGCACGGGUGAGUAACGCGUAUGCAACCUACCUAUCAGAGGGGAAUAACCCGGCGAAAGUCGGACUAAUACCGCAUAAAACAGGGACACCGCAUGGUGAUAUUUGUUAAAGAAAUUCGCUGAUAGAUGGGCAUGCGUUCCAUUAGGUAGUUGGUGAGGUAACGGCUCACCAAGCCGACGAUGGAUAGGGGAACUGAGAGGUUGGUCCCCCACACUGGUACUGAGACACGGACCAGACUCCUACGGGAGGCAGCAGUGAGGAAUAUUGGUCAAUGGGCGAGAGCCUGAACCAGCCAAGUCGCGUGAAGGAAGAAGGAUCUAUGGUUCGUAAACUUCUUUUGCAGGGGAAUAAAGCGCAGGACGUGUCCUGUUUUGUAUGUACCCUGAGAAUAAGGAUCGGCUAACUCCGUGCCAGCAGCCGCGGUAAUACGGAGGAUCCGAGCGUUAUCCGGAUUUAUUGGGUUUAAAGGGUGCGUAGGUGGUUUGAUAAGUCAGCGGUGAAAGUUUGCAGCUUAACUGUAAAAAUGCCGUUGAAACUGUCGGACUUGAGUGUAAAUGAGGUAGGCGGAAUGCGUGGUGUAGCGGUGAAAUGCUUAGAUAUCACGAAGAACUCCGAUUG